Molecule: long non-coding RNA, 763 nt
Organism: Juglans microcarpa x Juglans regia
Lineage: Eukaryota; Viridiplantae; Streptophyta; Magnoliopsida; Fagales; Juglandaceae
Exons: 2
Source: RefSeq, a predicted model, not a curated record
CACUUUCCAGUGUCCACCCUCCCUCCAGCUCAACCCAAAAACCACGCCUUAAACCCUCUCUCUCUCUCUCUCUCUCUCUCUCUCACCAUGGCCAAGUUCUUUAACACCUACUUCACAGUCCUCCUUUGCACUUUUCUGAUCCUUUUCUCUCUACCUCUCUCGCUCUCCGACUCCUCCAUCCAUGACCUCCUUCGCUCCAAAGGCUUACCACCUGGUCUGCUCCCAAGGAGGUCAAGUCCUACACUCUCUUAGAAAAUGGUACCCUAGAAGUCUUUCUGGAUGGGCCAUGCCUGACCAAGUUUGAGAACAGGGUGUAUUUUGACAGUGUUGUGAGGGCUAAUCUCACCUAUGGGAGUCUCAUAGGAGUGGUGGGUCUAUCCCAAGAAGAGCUUUUCUUAUGGCUGCCAGUGAAAGAUAUCAUAGUCGAUGAUCCAAGAUCGGGGCUGAUACUGUUUGACAUAGGUGUCGCUCACAAGCAACUUUCUUUGUCACUCUUUGAAGAUCCGCCGAGUUGUAAGCCUCAAGGUGCCUGGAAGAAUCAUGAGAGGAAGGAGAAAGGUUUUGAGGUUAUGAGAUAGAGAGACGUACGUAUGUCGAUCUGUUUCAAGUACUUUGUUUUGUUUAUGUUUUUAUAUGCUAUGUAAUAACCUAAUGAUAGUUAUAUGCGUAGGUGGGAUUAGAUUAGAGGUUGAGUAAUAUUUUGUAAAGAUGUGCAUUCUGGAAUCAGAUGUCCCAAUCGAAUUAGAAGAGAUAUAAGUUCUAA